Molecule: long non-coding RNA, 586 nt
Organism: Mauremys reevesii (Reeves's turtle)
Lineage: Eukaryota; Metazoa; Chordata; Testudines; Geoemydidae
Exons: 5
Source: RefSeq, a predicted model, not a curated record
CAGAAAUGUCUGAAUCUGGGGAGUCUGGAGGGGAGAUGGGACAUGCAGAGUGAGUGCCGAAAAAAGCAACCGAAGGAUCCAAGAAAAGUCUGUCGGGUAUGAUCCAGCGUUCCUGCCACGGCCGAUGUGGAAACAGGCACUAUGGCAACAGGAAGCAGAAGUGAGGCUGUGCCGCAGGCUGUCAUUGUGAUGCAACAAAAUGUAUCUGCUGGACCAUCCUGAGGACCAAAUGAGAUUCUGAAGGAUCCUUCAAACUGGAAGAUCCCACUGACGUGACUGCUGGGGAGACGACCUUUGAACCAAUAUGUAUCACUCUGAGCAAGAAGCUCCCUCAACAGGCUGAUCUCCCAGUCUAGAAGCUGCUCCAUAAGACAGAUCCCUGGAACGAACCUUCCUUACCCUUCGUUUUAUAUCUCAGUGCCAGAAACUCCUCCAGCAAAGACAGGAAGCAAUGAAUCCAACCCAGGGCUGAGGCAGACCGGUGUGUGGGGCAGGGGUAGCCUGAAGCUUACGUACAAAACAGCCCGAGUGCCAUCAGGGAGUUGGGGCUACAUUUAAACAGGAAAAGGACGCAGAGCAAGACCGA